This 1443-nucleotide ribosomal RNA is filed under the name uncultured organism. RNAcentral describes it as "SSU rRNA". It matches the Rfam family "Bacterial small subunit ribosomal RNA". The record is from RNAcentral.
UCGGCAGGCCUAACACAUGCAAGUCGAGCGGAUGAAGGGAGCUUGCUCCUGGAUUCAGCGGCGGACGGGUGAGUAAUGCCUAGGAAUCUGCCUGGUAGUGGGGGAUAACGUCCGGAAACGGGCGCUAAUACCGCAUACGUCCUGAGGGAGAAAGUGGGGGAUCUUCGGACCUCACGCUAUCAGAUGAGCCUAGGUCGGAUUAGCUAGUUGGUGGGGUAAAGGCCUACCAAGGCGACGAUCCGUAACUGGUCUGAGAGGAUGAUCAGUCACACUGGAACUGAGACACAGUCCAGACUCCUACGGGAGGCAGCAGUGGGGAAUAUUGGACAAUGGGCGAAAGCCUGAUCCAGCCAUGCCGCGUGUGUGAAGAAGGUCUUCGGAUUGUAAAGCACUUUAAGUUGGGAGGAAGGGCAGUAAGUUAAUACCUUGCUGUUUUGACGUUACCAACAGAAUAAGCACCGGCUAACUUCGUGCCAGCAGCCGCGGUAAUACGAAGGGUGCAAGCGUUAAUCGGAAUUACUGGGCGUAAAGCGCGCGUAGGUGGUUCAGCAAGUUGGAUGUGAAAUCCCCGGGCUCAACCUGGGAACUGCAUCCAAAACUACUGAGCUAGAGUACGGUAGAGGGUGGUGGAAUUUCCUGUGUAGCGGUGAAAUGCGUAGAUAUAGGAAGGAACACCAGUGGCGAAGGCGACCACCUGGACUGAUACUGACACUGAGGUCCGAAAGCGUGGGGAGCAAGCAGGAUUAGAUACCCUGGUAGUCCACGCCGUAAACGAUGUCGACUAGCCGUUGGGAUCCUUGAGAUCUUAGUGGCGCAGCUAACGCGAUAAGUCGACCGCCUGGGGAGUACGGCCGCAAGGUUAAAACUCAAAUGAAUUGACGGGGGCCCGCACAAGCGGUGGAGCAUGUGGUUUAAUUCGAAGCAACGCGAAGAACCUUACCUGGCCUUGACAUGCUGAGAACUUUCCAGAGAUGGAUUGGUGCCUUCGGGAACUCAGACACAGGUGCUGCAUGGCUGUCGUCAGCUCGUGUCGUGAGAUGUUGGGUUAAGUCCCGUAACGAGCGCAACCCUUGUCCUUAGUUACCAGCACCUCGGGUGGGCACUCUAAGGAGACUGCCGGUGACAAACCGGAGGAAGGUGGGGAUGACGUCAAGUCAUCAUGGCCCUUACGGCCAGGGCUACACACGUGCUACAAUGGUCGGUACAAAGGGUUGCCAAGCCGCGAGGUGGAGCUAAUCCCAUAAAACCGAUCGUAGUCCGGAUCGCAGUCUGCAACUCGACUGCGUGAAGUCGGAAUCGCUAGUAAUCGUGAAUCAGAAUGUCACGGUGAAUACGUUCCCGGGCCUUGUACACACCGCCCGUCACACCAUGGGAGUGGGUUGCUCCAGAAGUAGCUAGUCUAACCGCAAGGGGGACGGUUACCACGGAGUGAUUCAUGACUGG